GUGAAUCAUCAAAUUUUUGAACGCAAAUUGCGCCUUUUUCGGAAGGCAUGUCUGUUUGAGGGCACCAUUUAACAAAUAAUGUGCAGCGUUGUGUGUAUAUGUGACGUGCACACGGUGAUGAUCUUUCCGAGAAUUUUAAAUUUUUGGUUGCGCAAUAUGAACCGCGUGAAAGUUUUUUUCAGUUCGAGUGUUGUAAAAUUUUUGCUUGUGUUGUAAAAACACAUAA
RNAcentral lists this unclassified non-coding RNA (226 nucleotides) under Paraglomerales sp. RNAcentral's name for it is "partial contains 5.8S ribosomal RNA and internal transcribed spacer 2". The stretch from base 1 to 65 matches the Rfam family "5.8S ribosomal RNA", at positions 84 to 154 of the family's 154-position model. Lineage: Eukaryota; Fungi; Glomeromycota; Glomeromycetes; Paraglomerales. The record is from RNAcentral.